AAAUUGAAGAGUUUGAUCAUGGCUCAGAUUGAACGCUGGCGGCAGGCCUAACACAUGCAAGUCGAACGGUAACAGGAAGCAGCUUGCUGCUUUGCUGACGAGUGGCGGACGGGUGAGUAAUGUCUGGGAAACUGCCCGAUGGAGGGGGAUAACUACUGGAAACGGUAGCUAAUACCGCAUAACGUCGCAAGACCAAAGAGGGGGAGCUUAGGGCCUCUUGCCAUCGGAUGUGCCCAGAUGGGAUUAGCUAGUAGGUGGGGUAA
Molecule: ribosomal RNA, 263 nt
Filed under: Escherichia coli
Lineage: Bacteria; Pseudomonadati; Pseudomonadota; Gammaproteobacteria; Enterobacterales; Enterobacteriaceae
Description: partial 16S ribosomal RNA
Rfam family: Bacterial small subunit ribosomal RNA
Source: RNAcentral